RNAcentral lists this non-coding RNA (110 nucleotides) under Candidatus Enterenecus faecium. Its description in RNAcentral is "SAM riboswitch (S box leader)". It matches the Rfam family "SAM riboswitch aptamer (S box leader)". From Rfam's summary of the family: The SAM riboswitch is found upstream of a number of genes which code for proteins involved in methionine or cysteine biosynthesis in Gram-positive bacteria. The SAM riboswitch acts at the level of transcription termination control. The record is from RNAcentral. Lineage: Bacteria; Bacillati; Bacillota; Clostridia; Eubacteriales.
CUUAUCGAGAGUGGCGGAGGGAUCGGCCCAAUGAAGCCACGGCAACCUGCUUACCUGAGCAAGGUGCCAAAUCCGGCGGAGACGAGUGUUACACUCGCGCGCAAGAUGAG